This 72-nucleotide transfer RNA is filed under the name Phytophthora gemini. RNAcentral describes it as "tRNA-Val". It matches the Rfam family "tRNA". From Rfam's summary of the family: Transfer RNA (tRNA) molecules are approximately 80 nucleotides in length. Their secondary structure includes four short double-helical elements and three loops (D, anti-codon, and T loops). Lineage: Eukaryota; Oomycota; Peronosporomycetes; Peronosporales; Peronosporaceae. The record is from RNAcentral.
GAAUAAUUAACUCAAUGGUAGAGUAUUUCGUUUACACCGAAAACGUUAGCGGUUCGAAUCCGUUAUUAUUCA